GAAUUAAAAGCCAAAGUCCGCUGCAUUUUCCAAAAGCCUCUGUGGCUGCCACAUUCCAAGCAAACGCCCACUUGAGUGCAAACUCCUCGAUGCCAUUCCGAAUCCAAAUCGAGAGUGGUUGAAUUUUCGAUAUUUCAAAUGCUUUAUUCUGUGGGCAGUGACACAAAAACGCAGGCGAGACAUACGAGUAUUUCAACACUCAAAUGCGUAACUUGCAACUUGCCAAAAAUGGCGACAAAAGCGUUGAGCUCAGACUUACAGAUACGCGUUCUCGCAUUCGCCAGAUACGUUUACACUUGCUUUGUGAACAAAUUUACGAUGACGACUCGCUGUUUUUUGUUCACUCAAUUUUUGUUGUUAAUUUAUUUUAUUUUUCAUCUUUUUUGCACUUACUCAAUUUUUGUCUGGGCUUUUUGGCACAUUUCUGGUGCUCAUAAAUUAAUAUGACGCUCACGUUGGCUUGGGAGACGUGUUCGACUGAAUGAGUACCCAUAUCUAUAGAUAUAUAUCACAUAUAUUUCAUACUGUUCAGAUUUAAGUUGUGGUUUCGUGUGUGUGUGCUGGCACGCACAGUGGGCAUGUUGUCAAACAUCUGUGCGGAUGACAAGAAUGUUUGCAUUGAGAUGCCCACCCACCCACAGAACGAUUCCAGCUCUGAUUCCGUCCGACCCACUCUAUAAACAAUCUAAUCUGCGUGUCCAUUGUGCUCAUAUGCUAAGUGAAUACAAAUUGCUCGUAAUUACGGAACGGCAGCUAGUUCGUUUGGGUCUGCGUUGUGUUACUGCGCCACAUAAAAAUAGAAAUAAUAAAAUUUAAUCGUACAUCAAAUUGUGCGGCAAAUGAAUUUGCACUGUUCUGUACAGAAAUCAAAUUUAAAUUGCGGGGGAAAUGCUUUAUGAAUGGGUUAUUUGCCCUACCCCUUUCCAAAACCCCCCUCAUUGUGUGCGUAAAAAGUUGAGCGUUGAGUGUUCUCUUGUGGUCAGUCGAAAUUGGAUGUGUGAAUUGCUAAUGGAAAUUACUUUGGCCAAAUGACAGCUAACAAUGGGCGGCUGAUAACUAAAGCCCUAAUCGAGCCACCUUUUGAUUAGCUGCAGUCCAAUCAAGGCGGCUUAUCUGUUCGCGGGAAUGGAGUGGAUUUCAAAUUAGUUCGGUUGCCGCCGGCGAGUGCCCACUGUGACCUGCUUGAAAUGGCACUCGAGUGUCGACCACUUAAUAACGAAUUUCUGGCUGCCCGAACCAGCAGUAAAGAUGCAUCCGAGCUCGGAUUGUGUUCCCAACGGAAGUGCACUUUAACAAAAUGUUGGCGAAAUGUUGGCAAGAGCGGGAAAGCGUAAUGGGAAAAGGAAAAGCGAAAUGCGAAAAGGUCAGCAAGAGAAGGGAAAUACAAUUUGAAAAGCGACGACCUCCGGCUGUGAUGUCGUGUCGAGUUACGCAGUUCUGAGAAGGGCUUCCCUGCUGCAUUUUCCACUAACGGGUCAUUACUUUUACUUGUUGUUUUGUUUUUUUUUCGCGUGCCAUAACUGUUGCAGAUCUCUUCGACGGCUGCAAUGUAAAUCGUUGCGUAUACUCAAUUAAUUGAGACAAAUUACCCAUACGCCGGGUGGGUGAAUGACUGGCGAGAGUUCAAUUCAGUUUGAAUUGAAGAGCUCUUCUUUUGCUUUUUUUUUGUCCGAUGCAUUUGUCUGGUUACCAACCGAAUAAAAAUGGAAAUUUUACCAUAAUAAAACUUUAAUUUGGCCCCAUCGAUCCAAUGGCAAUUAUUAUUAGAUUUCGUUUUGUUUGCUUCUGAUUUCUGCUCCCAUUCGGGAGCACCUUGAACCACAUUAUUCGCGAAUUUGCCCCCACAGUGAAUCUGCCGCUGGUGGAGGCAGUUCCCAAACUGUCAUGGAUUUCAAUCAAACAAUCAAACGUGGCUCGUGCUAAGAUAUAUGCCCGUGUCUGCCGUCUGAACUGGAGGCAAUAAUGCGAAUCCGAGUCACCGACUUGGGCACGCCAUCAUCCUCCCCCCGAAAUUCCCACUGCCUCGGAGUUUGUUUCGGUCUUGACUCCGUUCAGGUUCUGUUCGGUAAGUAUUAUAUAUACUCGUAUUUUUGUGCACGCCACUUUAUGUAAGCAUUAAAACUAGCGCCUGUCGAGCACACAAGAUACACAGAAACAAUCUGAUAUUCACAUCUUCUUAAGAUGUGUAUAAUUUAAGAUAGAUUUAAGCUUACAUUUGUUUUACUGUUUGGCAUUAUCGGGACUUUGACAAGAUUUAAGUUGAAUAACGAAAUAGAUAUGCUUCUUCUUGUUUCUUGUUUUAUUUCUUUUAUUUAUUUAUUUAAUAUCUAUAAUAUUUAAAAUAAUAGUAUCGGAAAUUAUAUCUUAACAAAUUUUCUUUCUGUGUACAAGCGCCAGCUAGACAAUCGCAAAGAUACAAAUACAGAUGCAUGGUGUAGAUACAUUUGUAUCUACACUCUGCCAUGUCGUGUGGUUAUUUUUUUUUUGUGUGUGCAACUUUUGGCUUUGUUGUUUUUUAAUGCAGCUGUAGUUGCUGUUGUUGUUGUUGCCGGUGCAAUUUGCGAAUAUUUGUUACAAGGUCAGUUUGCCAAACGAAAAGUGCGAACAAAAAAUGCAAAUAAUAUAUAUUUUCUUUCAUCUAUAAGCGUAGGAAAGCCGAGCCAAGUUAAUCCGGAUUCAACGGUUUCCAUGUAGAACUGCCUCAUAAUUUAAUAUAAUCGCCUGCGGAUAUCUGCGUUUCUCGCACAUCUCGGGCACUUUGCAUGUUUCUUUGCCACUGUGGCUGCCUUUGAUGCUCUGACUGUGAUGUGAUGUGGCCAACAGCUGCAACCAUUUUGGCCAGGCGUCCCACUUCCCAGCCGGCGAAGAGCAACAAUGAGACGAAAAUUUACAAAUUGAAUUUGCUGUCAGCUGCCAGGAUGGAUGGUUGACGCAAAUGACUUCUUGUCCCUCCCACUCCCACAUCCGUGGGGGAAUUAAUUUUUGUGGCCGAAUUCGGUUUGCUUUUGGGACCCCGUGCGCUAAGUGCACCAUCCUCCGGCUCGAUCUCUCACAUUAGAUGCAAGUGUAGGAAGGGGCCUGCGGAUAGCGGCCAUUUCCGCCCACCUCUUAGCUGCGCUUUGGCGACGACUAAUUUCACCGAUAAUUGCCUGACCAGACCAAAGAGAUGCAAAUGUAUCUGCCGCUCACAGCUGUUGCUGCCUGUGAUGCGAUGACAUAAUCGAGUGCAUCGAGUGUGCACCUAUUUGCAAUUCUUUCGGCCAAAGGCAGGCGUUGAUAGAACAUGGAAAAAGUAAAGAAAAUGAACGAACGGAACCGGUUUUAACCGCACAUUUUGCUUAGAAUUAUUCAUCUGUGUAAAAGUUCGUAUAUUAAGCUACAUAUUUUAUGUAAAGUAAAAAUAAAAUGUAAUAUAAUCAUAGUCAUAUUCUGUGCUUAUAUAAAACUAGCAAACUAGCACCAAUUGUACUAAGAGCAAAAGAGAGAUAGUUUUGUCAUAAGCUCAAAAAAAUCAAAUGGCUUAUAUUGCCAGAAGAUUACAAACAAAAUGAAAUGGAUUGUAUUAAGGUACAGAAAAAUAUAGAACAGAAAAAUAAAGAACA
Long non-coding RNA from Drosophila elegans, 3602 nucleotides. RefSeq lists it as uncharacterized. NCBI's taxonomy places the organism in Eukaryota, Metazoa, Arthropoda, Insecta, Diptera, Drosophilidae. The record is from RefSeq and is a predicted model, not a curated record. The transcript is spliced from 3 exons.